RNAcentral lists this signal recognition particle RNA (99 nucleotides) under Candidatus Sacchlamyda saccharinae. RNAcentral describes it as "signal recognition particle sRNA small type". It matches the Rfam family "Bacterial small signal recognition particle RNA". From Rfam's summary of the family: The signal recognition particle (SRP) is a universally conserved ribonucleoprotein involved in the co-translational targeting of proteins to membranes. Archaeal SRP consists of a 7S RNA and homologues of the eukaryotic SRP19 and SRP54 proteins. The record is from RNAcentral. Lineage: Bacteria; Pseudomonadati; Chlamydiota; Chlamydiia; Parachlamydiales; Candidatus Rhabdochlamydiaceae.
GCCGGGGAAUUCUUGGGUGCGAAGCAUCCGAACCAGGUCAGGACCGGAAGGUAGCAGCCUUAAGGAUCUGUUUCGUUGCCAAGAAACCUCUCCGGCUUU